UGAAAUACAAAAGAAUAAGAAGUCGCAUAAUAUAGAAUGGAGUAAACGAACUGCUUGCUUUAAGUGAGAAUAGCUAUAGGUGCUUGGCUUGUUUUAUCUUAUUAGUGUACCUAUGCUUGUCAUUAUUGAACCUAAUUCCUUACUUCUCAAGCAACAACAGUUUGGCCAGUGCUCAGUCAACUUUCUUCUUCUGAGACUUAUUUCAAAUCAUCUAUCUAUCUAUCUUGCACAAUAUAGAAAAUGGAAUAUGGUAAACAAACGGUAUUGCUUCCUAACUCACUCUCUCUCUCUAUAAGGCACCCGCCGGAAAGUAUGUUGAAUCGAAUUGAGGCACAGCACUGUUAUCAGAGUUGAGACUAUCGCCCCUGCCUUUCAUAAUUCAGAAUGGAAUUUGGCGUUAUCCGUUUCUACUAGCGAAAGACACACACCUAUUUUCGAAUGGAAUUUGGCGUUAUCAGUAUAGAUCUCAGUAAAAGCACACUACUUACUCUCAAAGGGAUAAUGUAGGCUCAGUUACGUUGCUUGGACCACAACUCCGUUUAGGCUGGAACUUCAUCUUUCUCGUUUUAGGGUUUACAGCCAGCCCCGAAUAAAGCUCUUGUUGUUGAAUUGAGGCACAUGGUUAUAUAAUCUAUUUGUAUUUACUGUGGAACCCUUACUUAUUACAUCAAAGGUCUGCUCGAUUGAAUGAAGAAGAGUCACCCGAUCCACCGCUGAUCUCUUGUACCAGUGUAGUGUGAUAAGCCAGGCAUCAAAGAAAAGCAACCAGCUAACGACGCCUUAACGUUUUGAUGCUUGCUAAAGCAGAGUGAUUUUCAGGUUGGAGAGUCCGGAGAACAAGCAAACAAGUGAACAAACAACGGAACAAGAAAAGAAUGAAGCUAUCCACACACAUAUCUGAAUUAUUAACAAUACAGCUUUUGCUUCCUUAAAGAACAAAUGGGCGCCGAACACUGGACCGGGCCUACAGCUUUCCAACCUUCUUUUUACCUUGCACGCCUUUCUCUUAUUAGAUGAAAUUGUCUUAUAUGAAAUGUUUGAUAUGAAAUUCUCGUAUUAUAUGAUCUUCUCGGACCCUUUUUGCCAAAUCGGUGUCAAUAUCUAUAGUAUGAGGUUCAACCAUUUGCUGAGCUAGUUCUAUUCCUCUCUCCGCUGUUUCGCCUCCCGCUUGCUCUAGGAUCUCAGGCCCUAAGCUAGAGCCGGCAUGCGAGAAGCAUGUUUCCCGCACCCUAUGAGUGGUAACUUGCUCGACCCCCUGCUUCGAGAGCUGACACCUCUCAAUUCCCAGUCUACCCUUUUUCUCAACAGGAGCACCCUUAACUCCUCUUUCAGGAGCUUCGAAGUCCUCGGCUCGGGGAUGUUGCUUUUCUAAUCCCAGCUCUUGCAAACGUACUUGUACUGGGAUAUGAGAAAGGCCUUAUUUACUUUACACCACCUACAAGCUUCGGAAGGUCGAGAUUUAAGGAAGUGUCAAAGAUGUCGCCAUCUUCGGGGACAAGAACAAGCUCAAUAAAAGCUUCCUUUCGAGGAACAAGCUCAAUAAAAGCUUCCUUUCGAGGUUUCUUCUUUCUUUUGUCUUUUGAAAAUACCUAUAGGUUGAAGUUCACUCUAUAUCACUAAUGAUUCUAAGGGCAUUUAUUUGCCA
Musa acuminata AAA Group (dessert banana) is the source of this 1645-nucleotide long non-coding RNA. RefSeq lists it as uncharacterized. The transcript is spliced from 2 exons. The record is from RefSeq and is a predicted model, not a curated record. NCBI's taxonomy places the organism in Eukaryota, Viridiplantae, Streptophyta, Magnoliopsida, Zingiberales, Musaceae.